ACCUAUCUUCAGGGCAGGGUGAAAUUCCCGAUCGGCGGUACAGUCCGCAAGCGCAAGCAGAUUCGGUGUGAUUCCGAAACCGACAGUAUAGUCUGGAUGAGAGAAGAUAUGU
Megasphaera micronuciformis F0359 is the source of this 112-nucleotide regulatory RNA element. It matches the Rfam family "FMN riboswitch aptamer (RFN element)". From Rfam's summary of the family: The RFN element is a highly conserved domain that is found frequently in the 5'-untranslated regions of prokaryotic mRNAs that encode for flavin mononucleotide (FMN) biosynthesis and transport proteins. This element is a metabolite-dependent riboswitch that directly binds FMN in the absence of proteins. The record is from Rfam. NCBI's taxonomy places the organism in Bacteria, Bacillati, Bacillota, Negativicutes, Veillonellales, Veillonellaceae.